GGCCUCGUGGCCCAAUGGCAAGGCGUCUGACUACGAUGGGUUCCAAGUAAUGGAUAUCUAGUGAUAAUCAGGAGAUUCUGGGUUCGACCCCCAGCGAGGUCA
This is a non-coding RNA of Nemania serpens, 102 nucleotides long. The record is from the annotation of a GenBank genome assembly. NCBI's taxonomy places the organism in Eukaryota, Fungi, Ascomycota, Sordariomycetes, Xylariales, Xylariaceae.